CAUAGAAGCGGAUGGUGCCCUUCUUCUCCGCAACCAUCAGCUGAUGACGAGAAAACAGCCCAAAACUGUUUCUUCUAUACGCGUAUUGAGUGAUGUCAGAGUUGCGCAUCAGUCAAUACCGUGGAUGCUCAUGUGUCAUUUGAGACACCCCCACCCACUGGUUAGCCCUGGUGACUCCCAUAAAAUCCCGGUUGUCCACGAUGCACGAAUGGGUUAACGGCGUCUACCUUGAAGACUUCUUCUGGGUGCCAGCACACGCUGAUGCCGGGAGAGUGGAGUCGGAAAAUCGCGUUUUCAUUUCCAUCCAAGUCCCACACCCUGGAAGAAAUUACAACAGAAUACAUAUGAAAUCCAGGAAAACAAACCGCCGGCCAAGGCGAAGCUCCACUGCACGCUACUCGACCGGCGCCAAAGUGCGGUCCACCGCGCUACCCUUCAAACGGGGCUCCGCGGACAAACACGAACAGCGUAAAAAAAAAAAAAAAAAAAAAAAGAAAGAAAAAAAAAAAGAACAUGAAACCGCUGACCUGCUGAACGCUACAUCGCUCAGGACGCUCCAAAGGACAUCUGAGGUUGGAUCAAGAAAACAUGCAAAUCUAUUUUUCCGCAUAGAGAAACAGUAUUAAGUUGGUCGUACAACAAGUUGUGCAAAAAGUAGUGAAUCUUUGAACAGGUGGACAUGUACAUUCAAAAUAGGUGUGAAAUCAUUAAUCGAAUAACUUGAAUAAAUGAACACCUGCACCUCACAUGCACAUGUAGUUGUGUAAAAUGCAAAAUCUAGUUGUAUCCAAUUGUGUGAUUAAUCGAUGGGAUAAUCAGUAGAAUCAAUUGUAAAAAUAAUCAAUAGCUGCAACGCCAAAUCAAAAGUUUAGAAAAAGUCAAAUUAGGUUCACAUGUAAAGGUUAUAGGGCCUUUCAGGUUCAUAAUAUUUCAAACAUUUGUUAGGAGUGUACAACCAAUUUAAUCCCAGUCGGUAUCAUCCAAUUGUUUUAAUAAAACAUUUAUCUCGACAGAGUUGACGUACCCCUUUCUCCCUAAAAAAAGACAUUUGCAAAAAGCAGAGACGCAAUGCUGAGGCCACCAAACCGGGCUCCCUCAACACGUCGGCUGCGCCUAGAAAUUCUGUUCAUCAAGGUAAUGAAGAGAAUUGGUGACAAAGGGCAGCCUUGACGGAGUCCAACCCUCACUAGAAACGAAUCUUACAGCCGGCAAUGUGAACCAGACUCUGGACACCAGACACCGUACAGGGGCGGAACAGCCCUUAUUAAGGGUUCCAGUAUUCAAUAAUCCCGGAGCACCCCCCACAAGACCUCCAAAGGGAAACGAUCCACCACCUUCUCAAAGUCCACAAAGCACAUGUAGAUUGGUUGGGCGAAGUCCCAUGCAACUUCGACGAUCCUACUGAGGGUGUAGCGCUAGUCCACUGCUCCACGGCCAGGAUGAAAACCACACUGCUCCUCCUGAAUCUGAGGUUUGACUUCCAGAUGGACCCUCCACUCCAGAACCCCUGAAUAGACAUUACCAUGGAGGCUGAGGAGAGUGAUUCUCCUCUUGUUGGAACACACUCUCCACCACCUCAGUCUGUCAAUCCAGAGGCACUGUCCCCAAUGUCCACGUGAUGUUACAGAGGCAUGUCAGCCAAGGCAACCCAACAUCCAGAGCCUUUAGGAAUUCCGGCCGGAUCUCAUCCACCCCUGGGACCCUGCCACCGAGGAACUUUUUAACCACCUCAGUGAUUUCAACCCCAGGGAUGGGAGAAACCGCCUCGGAGUCCCCAGACUCUGCUUACUCCUAGGAAGGCGGGUCGGUGGAAUUGAGGAGGGUCUUUGAAGUAUUCAGCCCACCGACUCACAACGUCCUGAGUUAAUGUCAGCAGCACACCGUCCCCACUUUACACAAUGUUGACGGUGCACUGUAUCCCCCUCCUAAGACGUUGGAUGGUGGACCAGAAUUUCCUCGAAGCAGUCCGGAAGUCCCCACCGAACUCAUCUGACGUCCAAGGUUUUGCCUCAGUGACCACCAAAGCUGCAUUCCGCUUGGCCAGCCGGUACCCAUCAGUUACCGCCGGAGUCCCAAUGGCCAAAAAAGCUUGAUAGGACUCCAUCUUCAACCCUUACCGCUGGUGUCCACCAACGGGUUCGGGGACUGCCGCCACAACAGGCACCGAACACCUUACGGUCACAACUCCAGGUGGCCGCCUGAACAAUGGUCCACUUGGACUCAAUGUCCCCCGCCUCCCUCAGGACGUGUUCAAAGGUCUGCUGGAGGUGGGAACUAAAGCUCAUUUUGACAUGGGACUCUGCCAGACGAUCCCCAGCAGACGCUUACAAUACAUUACAGGUCGUACUGGCAUGUUCACCAGCCAUCGGAGCCAACAUACCACCAGGUGGUGAUCAGUUGACAGCUCCGCCCCUCUCUUCACCUGAGUGUCCAAGAUAUGCGACCGCAAAUUAGAGGACACGACCACAAAGUCGAUCAUCAAACUGCGGUUUAGGGUGUCCUGGUUAUGUUUGAACAUGAUGUUUGUUAUGGACAGUCCGUGACAAGCACAGAAGUCCAAUAACAAAGCACCGCUCGGGUUCUUAUUGGGGGGGCUGUUCUUCUCAAUCACGCCCUUCCAGGUCUCACUGUCAUUUCCCAUGUGAGUGUUGAGGUCCCCCAGAAGAACGAGGUAGUCUCCAGUAGGGGCGCUCCACAGCACCGAUGCAAGGACUCCAAAAAGGGUGGAUACCAUGGUGCAUAGACACAAACAACAUUCAGGAAACAUACCCCCAUCCGAAGGCAGAGGGAGGCUAUCCUCUCGUCUACCAGGAUAAAGCCAAACGUACAGGCAUCGAGCCGGUGGGAAAACAGUAUGCCCACACUUGCUCGGCGCCUCUCACCAUGGG
Molecule: long non-coding RNA, 2888 nt
Organism: Phyllopteryx taeniolatus (common seadragon)
Lineage: Eukaryota; Metazoa; Chordata; Actinopteri; Syngnathiformes; Syngnathidae
Exons: 3
Source: RefSeq, a predicted model, not a curated record